GAGUUUGAUCCUGGCUCAGGAUGAACGCUAGCGGCAGGCUUAACACAUGCAAGUCGAACGGUAACAUUGGUGCUUGCGCCAGAUGACGAGUGGCGAACGGGUGCGUAACGCGUAUGCAAUCUACCUUUUACUGAAGAAUAGCUCAGAGAAAUUUGGAAUAAUCCUUCAUAAUAUCAUUUAUCAGCAUUGAUUUAUGAUUAAAGCUCCGGCGGUAAAAGAUGAGCAUGCGUCCUAUUAGUUUGUUGGUGAGGUAACGGCUCACCAAGACUACGAUAGGUAGGGGCCCUGAGAGGGGGAACCCCCACACUGGUACUGAGACACGGACCAGACUCCUACGGGAGGCAGCAGUGAGGAAUAUUGGACAAUGGAGGCAACACUGAUCCAGCCAUGCCGCGUGCAGGAUGACUGCCCUAUGGGUUGUAAACUGCUUUUAUAUAGGAAGAAACACUCCCACGUGUGGGGGCUUGACGGUACUAUAUGAAUAAGGAUCGGCUAACUCCGUGCCAGCAGCCGCGGUAAUACGGAGGAUCCAAGCGUUAUCCGGAAUCAUUGGGUUUAAAGGGUCCGCAGGCGGCCUGUUAAGUCAGAGGUGAAAGCCAACAGCUCAACUGUUGAACUGCCUUUGAUACUGAUAGGCUUGAGUUAUUGUGAAGUGGUUAGAAUGUGUGGUGUAGCGGUGAAAUGCUUAGAUAUCACACAGAAUACCCAUUGCGAAGGCAGAUCACUAACAAUAUACUGACGCUCAUGGACGAAAGCGUGGGGAGCGAACGGGAUUAGAUACCCCGGCAGUCCACGCCGUAAACGAUGGAUACUAACUGUUCGACCUUCGGGUUGAGUGGUCAAGCGAAAGUGAUAAGUAUCCCAUCUGGGGGAGUACGCUCGCAAGAGUGAAACUCAAAGGAAUUGACGGGGGCCCGCACAGCGGUGGAGCAUGGUGGUUUAAUCGAUGAUACGCGAGACUACAGGCUUAAAUGUAGUGGGACAGUCUAGAGAAUAGACCCUCUCGACUCAUACAGUGCCUGCAUGGAUGUCGUCAGCUCGGCGUGAAGGGUCAGGUUAGUCUAUACGAGCGCAACCUAUCGUAGUGCAACGGUAUGCGCACUUAGGAACUGCCGUCACUGAGUAGUGGCCAUGGACUCAUCAUUAUCA
This 1149-nucleotide ribosomal RNA is filed under the name uncultured marine bacterium. Its description in RNAcentral is "bacterial SSU rRNA". It matches the Rfam family "Bacterial small subunit ribosomal RNA", at positions 9 to 1148 of the family's 1533-position model. The record is from RNAcentral.